AGUAAUGUAUAGGAACUUGCCUAGCAGUGGGGGAUAACGUGUGGAAACGCACGCUAAUACCGCAUACGCUCUACGGAGGAAAGCGGGGGAUCUUCGGACCUCGUGCUACUAGAUGGGCCUAUAUCAGAUUAGCUAGUUGGUAAGGUAAUGGCUUACCAAGGCGACGAUCUGUAGCUGGUUUGAGAGAAUGAUCAGCCACACUGGGACUGAGACACGGCCCAG
This 222-nucleotide ribosomal RNA is filed under the name uncultured bacterium. RNAcentral describes it as "partial 16S ribosomal RNA". It matches the Rfam family "Bacterial small subunit ribosomal RNA", at positions 109 to 334 of the family's 1533-position model. The record is from RNAcentral.